GCGCCUGUAGCUCAGUCGGAUAGAGCGAUAGACUUCGAAUCUAAAGGUCGGGGGUUCGAUUCCCUCCAGGCGCGCCA
RNAcentral lists this transfer RNA (77 nucleotides) under Leptospirillum ferriphilum. RNAcentral's name for it is "tRNA-Arg". It matches the Rfam family "tRNA". From Rfam's summary of the family: Transfer RNA (tRNA) molecules are approximately 80 nucleotides in length. Lineage: Bacteria; Pseudomonadati; Nitrospirota; Nitrospiria; Nitrospirales; Nitrospiraceae. RNAcentral also lists the same sequence under 8 other names. The record is from RNAcentral.